Molecule: ribosomal RNA, 1480 nt
Filed under: uncultured prokaryote
Description: partial 16S ribosomal RNA
Rfam family: Bacterial small subunit ribosomal RNA
Source: RNAcentral
CGAACGCUGGCGGCGGGGUUUAGGCAUGCAAGUCGAGGGGGAAAGUCCUUCGGGGCGAGUAUACCGGCGCAAGGGUGAGUAAUGGCUAGUUAAUGUACCCAGAGGACCGGGAUAAUUUCUCGAAAGGGAUUGUAAGACCGGAUGAGACCACGGCGUCCACGGGCGCUGGGGUCAAAGUCGUGGGCUCUUCUAUAAGCUGUUGUUGAAGGAUGGUUCCGCCUCCCAUUAGCUAGUUGGUGGGGUAAUGGCCUACCAAGGCGACGAUGGGUAGCCGGCCUGAGAGGGUGACCGGCCACACUGGGACUGAGAUACGGCCCAGACUCCUACGGGAGGCAGCAGUCGAGAAGCAUCCGCAAUGGGCGAAAGCCUGACGGUGCGACGCCGCGUGAGCGAAGAAGGUCCUAUGGAUUGUAAAGCUCAGAUUGGGAAGAAAGCUUUGCGGUUAAUACCCGUGAAGUUUGACGGUACCAUCAGAGGAAGCACCGGCUAACUCCGUGCCAGCAGCCGCGGUAAUACGGAGGGUGCAAGCGUUGUUCGGAUUCACUGGGUAUAAAGGGUGCGCAGGCGGCCUGAUAAGUCAGGGGUGAAAUAUGUCGGCUCAACCGGCAAACGGCCCCUGAAACUGUCAGGCUUGAGUUCGAGAGAGGUAGGUGGAAUUCCAGGUGUAGCGGUGAAAUGCGUAAAUAUCUGGAGGAACACCGGUGGCGAAGGCGGCCUACUGGGGCAUAACUGACACUGAGGUACGAAAGCGUGGGGAGCGAACGGGAUUAGAUACCCCGGUAGUCCACGCCGUAAACGAUGGGUACUAGGUGUUGGGGGAUUCCCCCCUCAGUGCCGCAGCUAACGCAUUAAGUGCUCCGCCUGGGGAGUACGUUCGCAAGGAUGAAACUCAAAGGAAUUGACGGGGGCUCACACAAGCGGUGGAGGAUGUGGUUUAAUUCGAAGCAACGCGAAGAACCUUACCAGGCCUUGACAUUCCGGGAUCAACCGUGUGAAAGCAUGGGGCUUGUCGCAAGACGUAACCGGAACAGGUGCUGCAUGGCUGUCGUCAGCUCGUGCCGUGAGGUGUUAGGUUAAGUCCUUUAACGAGCGAAACCCCUGCUGUUAGUUGCUAACAGGUAAUGCUGAGGACUCUAGCAGGACUGCCGCGUGUAAGUUGGAGGAAGGUGGGGACGACGUCAAGUCAUCAUGGCCCUUAUGGCCUGGGCUACACACGUCCUACAAUGCAUGGUACAGAGGGCAGCGAAGUCGCGAGGCGGAGCUAAUCUCACAAACCAUGCUCAGUUCGGAUAGUAGGCUGCAAUUCGCCUGCUUGAAGCCGGAAUCGCUAGUAAUCGCGGGUCAGCUACACCGCGGUGAAUAUGUUCCUGAGCCUUGUACACACCGCCCGUCAAGCCACCCGAAUUGGUCGCACCCGAAGUCGUAGUUCCAACCCGCAAGGGAGGUACGCGCCGAAGGUGAGGUCGGUAAGGGGGACUAA